GUCAGGAGAACAUUAAUUGUUUUACUAAAUCAGCUUCAAUCAGCUGGAAGGAGAAUUUAAAUCCAUCCUUCUGGACUAAAUCACAGAAUCUUAACCGUCUCCUGCUGGACAUGCAGACUGGGUCACUUUUUUCUAAGAUUUGUAACAAGCAGAGUUUGUAACAUCUGAUCCACCAAACCUGCUUCCUCUCCACCAGGGGGCGACAUGCUCCAGCAGGCGGCGCUCUCCUUGUGCUCUGUGCUCCAGCAUCGUGUCAAUAAGAAGUGGUGCUGUGAAGAGAACAACAGUCAGACUGAAUGUUGAACAUCAGCUGCUUUCUCCUGCUGGUUUAAACCUUGUUGGACAGAUGGAACAUUGGCUGUGGAUUAUUCUGGCUGCUCUUUUCUCUGAGUGUAAAGGAGACUCAGUGACGCAGACAGAAAGAGAAGUUGUUGCUGCUGCAGGAGAAACUCGGACUCUGGGAUGUACCUUUGAAGCCAGUGGUACAAAUUAUGCCUUGUUCUGGUAUAAACAAGAAGAAAACAGUUUCCCAAAGUACAUGUUGAAAGAAUAUGUGAAGGUACCAGACAAAGCUCCAGAGUUCGACAGCAACAGAUUCAAUGCAGAGAUCAACGACAAAUCCUUCAACCUGAAGAUCCAGGAUCUCCGUCUGUCAGACUCUGCUGUGUACUACUGCGCUCUGCAGCCCACAGUGACAGGAAACACCAGAACCCUGUACAAAAUCCUGCAGUACUCCACAGCGGCCACUAGAGGGCCUCACUCCCUGUUAAACCACUAAAACCUGCAGUACUCCACAGCAGCCACUAGAGGGCCUCACUCCCUGUUAAUCCUCUGGUUGUUGAGUCUUUGGACUGAAGACAACAGAGACAUGAAGCAGUAAAGAUCAGAGACAGAGCUGCUGAGGAAGCAGAAAACUCUCUGAUUGG
Non-coding RNA from Poecilia latipinna (sailfin molly), 926 nucleotides. The record is from the annotation of a RefSeq genome assembly. NCBI's taxonomy places the organism in Eukaryota, Metazoa, Chordata, Actinopteri, Cyprinodontiformes, Poeciliidae.